UUUUAUGGAGAGUUUGAUCCUGGCUCAGGAUGAACGCUGGCGGCGUGCCUAAUACAUGCAAGUCGAGCGAACGGACGAGAAGCUUGCUUCUCUGAUGUUAGCGGCGGACGGGUGAGUAACACGUGGAUAACCUACCUAUAAGACUGGGAUAACUUCGGGAAACCGGAGCUAAUACCGGAUAAUAUUUUGAACCGCAUGGUUCAAAAGUAAAAGACGGUCUUGCUGUCACUUAUAGAUGGAUCCGCGCUGCAUUAGCUAGUUGGUAAGGUAACGGCUUACCAAGGCAACGAUGCAUAGCCGACCUGAGAGGGUGAUCGGCCACACUGGAACUGAGACACGGUCCAGACUCCUACGGGAGGCAGCAGUAGGGAAUCUUCCGCAAUGGGCGAAAGCCUGACGGAGCAACGCCGCGUGAGUGAUGAAGGUCUUCGGAUCGUAAAACUCUGUUAUUAGGGAAGAACAUAUGUGUAAGUAAC
This 476-nucleotide ribosomal RNA is filed under the name Staphylococcus aureus. Its description in RNAcentral is "bacterial SSU rRNA". It matches the Rfam family "Bacterial small subunit ribosomal RNA", at positions 1 to 465 of the family's 1533-position model. Lineage: Bacteria; Bacillati; Bacillota; Bacilli; Caryophanales; Staphylococcaceae. The record is from RNAcentral.